This 306-nucleotide ribosomal RNA is filed under the name uncultured bacterium. RNAcentral describes it as "bacterial SSU rRNA". It matches the Rfam family "Bacterial small subunit ribosomal RNA", at positions 32 to 317 of the family's 1533-position model. The record is from RNAcentral.
AAUCAACGCUGGCGGCGUGCCUCAGACAUGCAAGUCGAACGCGAAAGUUCCCUUCGGGGGGCGAGUAGAGUGGCGCACGGGUGAGUAACACGUAGGUAAUCUACCUUUGGGUGGGGAAUAACAGCCGGAAACGGCUGCUAAUACCGCAUAAUGCAGCGGCUCGACAUCGAGACAGUUGUUAAAGCGGGGGAUCGCAAGACCUCGCGCCUAAAGAGGAGCCUGCGGCGGAUUAGCUUGUUGGUGAGGUAAUGGCUCACCAAGGCAUCGAUCCGUAGCCGGCCUGAGAGGACGACCAGCCACACUGGC